GGGGGCGACUGGUUUCGACGGGGAGUAUGAUGAUAGGGGUAGCGGGUCGAGGAGCUGUGGCCUCGUUAGACUGCAGCAAGCUCAUUAAGUGCCGAUAACAAUUACCUUUUAGCUGCUUAAUUAAAAGUAGCCGUCCAAACUAAACUUAGCCUGGGAGUUUAGUGCGGGCGUCACUUAAACCAGGAUGCUCACCGGUCAAUUCUCGGAGACCGGUGCUAAGAUGAUCGAGAUCGCCAAGGCCUUCGGUUCGUCCGCAGACCGGGCUCUGGUUAAAUUUAAGUGCGGACUGCACCCGGAGAGACCCCUGUGGUCAUCUUUCCGGACGGGGGUUCGAUUCCCCCCGCCUCCACCA
This 352-nucleotide transfer-messenger RNA is filed under the name bacterium. Its description in RNAcentral is "JAAYGU01 sp012727535 Standard tmRNA". It matches the Rfam family "transfer-messenger RNA". Rfam says of the family: Bacterial tmRNA, also known as 10Sa RNA or SsrA, is named for its dual tRNA and mRNA-like properties. Its role is to liberate the mRNA from a stalled ribosome. RNAcentral also lists the same sequence under 1 other name. The record is from RNAcentral.